AUUCUGUAGCAAGGUUAACCGUAUAGGGGAGCCGGAGGGAAACCGAGUCUUAACCGGGCGUUAAGUUGCAGGGUAUAGACCCGAAACCCGGUGAUCUAGCCAUGGGCAGGUUGAAGGUUGGGUAACACUAACUGGAGGACCGAACCGACUAAUGUUGAAAAAUUAGCGGAUGACCUGUGGCUGGGGGUGAAAGGCCAAUCAAACCGGGAGAUAGCUGGUUCUCCCCGAAAGCUAUUUAGGUAGCGCCUCGUGAAUUCAUCUCCGGGGGUAGAGCACUGUUUCGGCUAGGGGGCCAUCCCGGCUUACCAACCCGAUGCAAACUGCGAAUACCGGAGAAUGUUAUCACGGGAGACACACGGCGGGUGCUAACGUCCGUCGUGAAGAGGGAAACAACCCAGACCGCCAGCUAAGGUCCCAAAGUCAUGGUUAAGUGGGAAACGAUGUGGGAAGGCCCAGACAGCCAGGAUGUUGGCUUAGAAGCAGCCAUCAUUUAAAGAAAGCGUAAUAGCUCACUGGUCGAGUCGGCCUGCGCGGAAGAUGUAACGGGGCUAAACCAUG
This 558-nucleotide ribosomal RNA is filed under the name Salmonella enterica. RNAcentral describes it as "partial 23S ribosomal RNA". It matches the Rfam family "Bacterial large subunit ribosomal RNA", at positions 632 to 1191 of the family's 2925-position model. The record is from RNAcentral. RNAcentral also lists the same sequence under 1 other name. Lineage: Bacteria; Pseudomonadati; Pseudomonadota; Gammaproteobacteria; Enterobacterales; Enterobacteriaceae.